Molecule: ribosomal RNA, 274 nt
Filed under: uncultured bacterium
Lineage: Bacteria
Description: partial 16S ribosomal RNA
Rfam family: Bacterial small subunit ribosomal RNA
Source: RNAcentral
AUACGGAGGGGGUUAGCGUUGUUCGGAAUUACUGGGCGUAAAGCGUACGUAGGCGGACUGGAAAGUUGGGGGUGAAAUCCCGGGGCUCAACCCCGGAACUGCCUCCAAAACUUCCAAUCUAGAGAUCGAGAGAGGUGAGUGGAAUUCCAAGUGUAGAGGUGAAAUUCGUAGAUAUUUGGAGGAGCACCAGUGGCGAAAGCGGCUCACUGGCUCGAUACUGACGCUGAGGUACGAAAGCGUGGGGAGCAAACAGGAUUAGAUACCCUAGUAGUCC